AUUCCUACGGGAGGCAGCAGUGGGGAAUAUUGCACAAUGGGCGCAAGCCUGAUCCAGCCAUGCCGCGUGCGGGAAGAAGGCCUUCGGGUUGUAAACCGCUUUUAGUCGGGAAGAAAAGGCAAGGGUUAACACCUCUUGUUCUUGACGGUACCGGCGGAAUAAGCACCGGCUAACUACGUGCCAGCAGCCGCGGUAAUAAU
RNAcentral lists this ribosomal RNA (200 nucleotides) under uncultured bacterium. RNAcentral's name for it is "partial 16S ribosomal RNA". It matches the Rfam family "Bacterial small subunit ribosomal RNA", at positions 335 to 526 of the family's 1533-position model. The record is from RNAcentral.